UACAGAGGUCCCGAGCGGUGUUCGGAUUCAUUGGGCGUAAAGGGUGCGUAGGCGGCGGGGAAAGUCUGAUGUGAAAUCCUGGGGCUCAACCCUGGAACUGCAUUGGAUACUUCCUUGCUAGAGUACUGGAGAGGAAACUGGAAUUUACGGUGUAGCAGUGAAAUGCGUAGAGAUCGUAAGGAAGACCAGUGGCGAAGGCGAGUUUCUGGACAGUUACUGACGCUGAGGCACGAAGGCCAGGGGAGCAAACGGG
This 253-nucleotide ribosomal RNA is filed under the name uncultured bacterium. RNAcentral describes it as "partial 16S ribosomal RNA". It matches the Rfam family "Bacterial small subunit ribosomal RNA", at positions 524 to 776 of the family's 1533-position model. The record is from RNAcentral.